AAUUUUCCGCAAUGGGCGAAAGCCUGACGGAGCAAUACCGCGUGAGGGAGGAAGGUUUUUGGAUUGUAAACCUCUUUUUUAAAGGAAGAAGAAAGUGACGGUACUUUAAGAAUCAGCAUCGGCUAACUCCGUGCCAGCAGCCGCGGUAAUACGGAGGAUGCAAGCGUUAUCCGGAAUCAUUGGGCGUAAAGCGUCCGCAGGCGGUUCAUCAAGUCUGCUGUUAAAGACAGAAGCUCAACUUCUGAUAGGCAGUGGAAACUGGUGAACUAGAGUACGGUAGGGGUUGAGGGAAUUCCCAGUGUAGCGGUGAAAUGCGUAGAUAUUGGGAAGAACACCAGUGGCGAAGGCGCUCAACUGGGCCGUAACUGACACUCAGGGACGAAAGCUAGGGGAGCGAAAGGGAUUAGAUACCCCUGUAGUCCUAGCUGUA
Molecule: ribosomal RNA, 430 nt
Filed under: uncultured marine bacterium
Lineage: Bacteria
Description: bacterial SSU rRNA
Rfam family: Bacterial small subunit ribosomal RNA
Source: RNAcentral